This 41-nucleotide transfer RNA is filed under the name Viviparus viviparus. RNAcentral's name for it is "tRNA-Val". The record is from RNAcentral. Lineage: Eukaryota; Metazoa; Mollusca; Gastropoda; Architaenioglossa; Viviparidae.
GGAGAUAUAGCAUAAUGGUUAAUGUAUUUCAUUUACAUUGA